UCCGGUGACCAUAGCGAGGGGGAACCACCUCUUCCCAUUCCGAACAGAGAAGUUAAGCCUCUCAACGCCGAUGGUACUGCAGGGGCGACCCUGUGGGAGAGUAGGAAGUCGCCGGGA
Actinobacteria bacterium RBG_16_64_13 is the source of this 117-nucleotide non-coding RNA. The record is from Rfam. NCBI's taxonomy places the organism in Bacteria, Bacillati, Actinomycetota.